GACGAACGCUGGCGGCGUGCUUAACACAUGCAAGUCGAACGCUGAAGCUCAGCUUUUGUUGGGUGGAUGAGUGGCGAACGGGUGAGUAACACGUGAGUAACCUGCCUCCUUCUUUGGGAUAACGCCCGGAAACGGGUGCUAAUACUGGAUAUUCACUGGUCUUCGCAUGGGGGUUGGUGGAAAGGGUUUUUCUGGUGGUGGAUGGGCUCGCGGCCUAUCAGCUUGUUGGUGGGGUGAUGGCCUACCAAGGCUUUGACGGGUAGCCGGCCUGAGAGGGUGACCGGUCACAUUGGGACUGAGAUACGGCCCAGACUCCUACGGGAGGCAGCAGUGGGGAAUAUUGCACAAUGGGCGCAAGCCUGAUGCAGCGACGCCGCGUGAGGGAUGGAGGCCUUCGGGUUGUGAACCUCUUUCGCUCAUGGUCAAGCCGCAACAAUGGUUGUGGUGAGGGUAGUGGGUAAAGUAGCGCCGGCUAACUACGUG
RNAcentral lists this ribosomal RNA (483 nucleotides) under uncultured bacterium. Its description in RNAcentral is "partial 16S ribosomal RNA". It matches the Rfam family "Bacterial small subunit ribosomal RNA", at positions 28 to 507 of the family's 1533-position model. The record is from RNAcentral.